CUGCAGCUCCACCAAUCCCAGAAUCACCAGGCUGCAGUGUGGACUCUCCAGAAAACCACACAGAUGCUUCACUCCUGAAUCCUGCAGCUGGUUCUCAC
This is a long non-coding RNA of Stegastes partitus (bicolor damselfish), 98 nucleotides long. RefSeq lists it as uncharacterized. The transcript is spliced from 3 exons. The record is from RefSeq and is a predicted model, not a curated record. NCBI's taxonomy places the organism in Eukaryota, Metazoa, Chordata, Actinopteri, Pomacentridae.